This 506-nucleotide ribosomal RNA is filed under the name uncultured bacterium. RNAcentral describes it as "bacterial SSU rRNA". It matches the Rfam family "Bacterial small subunit ribosomal RNA", at positions 29 to 527 of the family's 1533-position model. The record is from RNAcentral.
AACUAACGCUGGCGGCGUGCCUAACACAUGCAAGUCGUACGAGAAAGCCGGCUUCGGCUGGUGAGUAAAGUGGCGCACGGGUGAGUAACGCGUGGAUAAUCUGCCCUUAAGUGUGGAAUAACGUACCGAAAGGUGCGCUAAUACCGCAUAAUGCCUGGCAACACAAGUUGUCCGGCCAAAGAAGGCCUCUGUUUACAAGCUUUCGCUUCAGGAUGAGUCCGCGUACCAUUAGCUUGUUGGUGAGGUAAAGGCUCACCAAGGCGACGACGGGUAGCCGGCCUGAGAGGGCGACCGGCCACACUGGGACUGAGACACGGCCCAGACUCCUACGGGAGGCAGCAGUGGGGAAUAUUGCACAAUGGGCGAAAGCCUGAUGCAGCGACGCCGCGUGAGGGAUGGCGGCCUUCGGGUUGUUAAACCGUCUUUCUAGCAGGGAAGAAGCGAAAGUGACGGUACCUGCAGAAGAAGCACCGGCUAACUACGUGCCAGCAGCCGCGGUAAUCUCG